AGUAACGGACUAAAGAUUGCACAGUUAAUGGCAAAAAAGAUGGUACCUUCGUACCACUAACUCUUAUGAAAUAUAUGCCUGUUCAAGUAUCAAACAUAAUCUUGCUCAAACUUUGCCAAAAACCCUUCAUGGCAGCUGUACGUACCACUUCUCACUGCAUUGAUUGCAGUAGACGCGAAAUUGCUUUCGUCAGCAUGUGGUCCUUCCUUUCCUCAAAUAUGUAACAGCUCAGGGAAAUAUAUGUGAUUUCCGAGGUGGUCCUCUUAUGCUAUAUAAUGUUAACAAAACAUCACUGAAGCUCACAAGCAAACUGGG
RNAcentral lists this long non-coding RNA (315 nucleotides) under Linum usitatissimum (flax). RNAcentral describes it as "long non-coding RNA (LUSI_LNC001145)". The record is from RNAcentral. Lineage: Eukaryota; Viridiplantae; Streptophyta; Magnoliopsida; Malpighiales; Linaceae.